AUACCUUUCUCGGCCUUUUGGCUAAGAUCAAGUGUAGUAUCUGUUCUUAUCAGUUUAAUAUCUGAUAUGUGGGUCAUUGACUCACACGAUAUUAACUCAAUUUUUUAAGGGGGGAGGUCCAUCAAAGUAGCUUGCUACUUGGGCCUUCAUGCGUCGCCUAGGUUUUGCACUAUAGCCCAGGCCUGGCGCACCCCAC
Non-coding RNA from Solanum tuberosum (potato), 196 nucleotides. NCBI's taxonomy places the organism in Eukaryota, Viridiplantae, Streptophyta, Magnoliopsida, Solanales, Solanaceae. The record is from Rfam.